CACGUAGGGUGCGAGCGUUGUCCGGAAUUAUUGGGCGUAAAGAGCUCGUAGGCGGUGUGUCGCGUCGGCCGUGAAAACCUGCAGCUUAACUGUGGGCUUGCGGUCGAUACGGGCAUCACUGGAGUUCGGCAGGGGAGACUGGAAUUCCUGGUGUAGCGGUGAAAUGCGCAGAUAUCAGGAGGAACACCGGUGGCGAAGGCGGGUCUCUGGGCCGAUACUGACGCUGAGGAACGAAAGCUAGGGGAGCAAACAGG
This 254-nucleotide ribosomal RNA is filed under the name uncultured bacterium. RNAcentral describes it as "partial 16S ribosomal RNA". It matches the Rfam family "Bacterial small subunit ribosomal RNA", at positions 524 to 776 of the family's 1533-position model. The record is from RNAcentral.